UGAAAAGUUGCAGCCACACACCUGCCGAUGCCCAGGGAUUCCUCCCAGCAGUGCUCGCGGGGCCAGAUGGGGUUCUGAGGAUCAAGCCAGACUGGCCACGUGCCUCAAAAAAAGUGUGCAGAUCCCGCAGGAAAACACAGCUGCGCCUCUCUCCCCAAGGAAGCAGAUGGGACAAACGCCAUGGAGAUAAGCCAGGGGCCGCCCAGAGGAGGUCUUUUUGGAUUUGGCACGCCCAGGUCCCUCGGCUGCAAACUGGCUGCCCGCGCCCAGGAAUCCGGAGGAUCAGCCUGGGGCCAUUCUCGGCACAGUCCCACCUGAAGCUGGCUGGGCGGGGUCUAAAAGGCUCCUCCGAGUCUGGGGAAGUAACCCCUUAAUAGCAGACACAAGACAAGGGUGUGGCUCGGGGGCUCAGGGGGAGAACCCUCAGUGCCAGUGCCACGGUCCCCACUAAAGGCUUCCCACCCGGCCACAGGCCACUGUCUCCUGAGCCCCAGCUCCCACA
Long non-coding RNA from Sorex fumeus (smoky shrew), 502 nucleotides. RefSeq lists it as uncharacterized. NCBI's taxonomy places the organism in Eukaryota, Metazoa, Chordata, Mammalia, Eulipotyphla, Soricidae. The record is from RefSeq and is a predicted model, not a curated record. The transcript has 3 exons.